GAUCCUGGCUCAAGAACGAACGCUGGCGGCAUGCCUAACACAUGCAAGUCGAACGAGACCUUCGGGUCUAGUGGCGCACGGGUGCGUAACGCGUGGGAAUCUGCCCUUGGUUCGGAAUAACAGCGAGAAAUUGCUGCUAAUACCGGAUAAUGACGUAAGUCCAAAGAUUUAUCGCCAAGGGAUGAGCCCGCGUAGGAUUAGCUAGUUGGUGUGGUAAAGGCGCACCAAGGCGACGAUCCUUAGCUGGUCUGAGAGGAUGAUCAGCCACACUGGGACUGAGACACGGCCCAGACUCCUACGGGAGGCAGCAGUGGGGAAUAUUGGACAAUGGGCGAAAGCCUGAUCCAGCAAUGCCGCGUGAGUGAUGAAGGCCUUAGGGUUGUAAAGCUCUUUUACCCGGGAUGAUAAUGACAGUACCGGGAGAAUAAGCUCCGGCUAACUCCGUG
RNAcentral lists this ribosomal RNA (446 nucleotides) under uncultured bacterium. Its description in RNAcentral is "bacterial SSU rRNA". It matches the Rfam family "Bacterial small subunit ribosomal RNA", at positions 15 to 507 of the family's 1533-position model. The record is from RNAcentral.